CAGUAGCCGCGGUAAUACGAAGGGGGCUAGCGUUGUUCGGAUUUACUGGGCGUAAAGAGCGCGUAGGCGGGCUGAUAAGUCAGGGGUGAAAUCCCAAGGCUCAACCUUGGAACUGCCUUUGAUACUGUUUGUCUUGAGUUCGAGAGAGGUAAGUGGAACUGCGAGUGUAGAGGUGAAAUUCGUAGAUAUUCGCAAGAACACCAGUGGCGAAGGCGGCUUACUGGCUCGAAACUGACGCUGAGGCGCGAAAGCGUGGGGAGCAAACAGGAUUAGAUACCCGUGUAGUCCCUGUCUCUUAUAU
RNAcentral lists this ribosomal RNA (301 nucleotides) under uncultured bacterium. RNAcentral describes it as "partial 16S ribosomal RNA". It matches the Rfam family "Bacterial small subunit ribosomal RNA", at positions 509 to 809 of the family's 1533-position model. The record is from RNAcentral.